ACGUAGGGAGCAAGCGUUAUCCGGAUUUACUGGGUGUAAAGGGCGUGUAGGCGGGAUUGUAAGUCAGAUGUGAAAACCAGGGGCUCAACCUCUGGCCUGCAUUUGAAACUGCAGUUCUUGAGUACUGGAGAGGCAGACGGAAUUCCUAGUGUAGCGGUGAAAUGCGUAGAUAUUAGGAGGAACACCAGUGGCGAAGGCGGUCUGCUGGACAGCAACUGACGCUGAGGCGCGAAAGCGUGGGGAGCAAACAG
Molecule: ribosomal RNA, 251 nt
Filed under: uncultured prokaryote
Description: partial 16S rRNA
Rfam family: Bacterial small subunit ribosomal RNA
Source: RNAcentral